This 400-nucleotide ribosomal RNA is filed under the name uncultured delta proteobacterium. RNAcentral's name for it is "bacterial SSU rRNA". It matches the Rfam family "Bacterial small subunit ribosomal RNA", at positions 9 to 418 of the family's 1533-position model. Lineage: Bacteria; Deltaproteobacteria. The record is from RNAcentral.
GAGUUUGAUCUUGGCUCAGGGUGAACGCUGGCGGCGUGCCUAAUGCAUGCAAGUCGAACGCCUGUAGCAAUACAGGAGUGGCAGACGGCUGAGCAUCACGUGAGUAACCUGCCCAACGAUGGGGGACAACUCGCCGAAAGGCGAGCUAAUACCGCAUUCGUUCCCAUGACCCUGGUUGUGGGAGGAAAGUCGCAAGACGUCGAUGGAGGGGCUCGCGGCCUAUCAGGUAGUUGGCGGGGUAACGGCCCACCAAGCCGAAGACGGGUAGCUGGUCUGAGAGGACGACCAGCCAGAGGGGGACUGAGAUACGGCCCCCACUCCUACGGGAGGCAGCAGCAGGGGAUCUUGGGCAAUGGACGAAAGUCUGACCCAGCGACGCCGCGUGGAGGAUGAAGGCCUU